CCUACGGGAGGCAGCAGUGGGGAAUUUUGGACAAUGGGCGAAAGCCUGAUCCAGCCAUUCCGCGUGAGUGAAGAAGGCCUUCGGGUUGUAAAGCUCUUUCGCAAGGGAAGAAAACUUAGAUACUAAUAUUAUCUGAGGUUGACGGUACCUUGAUAAGAAGCACCGGCUAACUACGUGCCAGCAGCCGCGGUAAUACGUAGGGUGCGAGCGUUAAUCGGAAUUACUGGGCGUAAAGCGUGCGCAGGCGGUUUUGUAAGUCAGAUGUGAAAUCCCCGAGCUCAACUUGGGAACUGCGUUUGAAACUACAAGACUAGAAUAUGUCAGAGGGGGGUAGAAUUCCACGUGUAGCAGUGAAAUGCGUAGAGAUGUGGAGGAAUACCAAUGGCGAAGGCAGCCCCCUGGGAUAAUAUUGACGCUCAUGCACGAAAGCGUGGGGAGCAAACAGGAUUAGAUACCCUGGUAGUCCACGCCCUAAACGAUGUCUACUAGUUGUUGGUGGAGUAAAAUCCAUGAGUAACGCAGCUAACGCGUGAAGUAGACCGCCUGGGGAGUACGGUCGCAAGAUUAAAACUCAAAGGAAUUGACGGCUGAGAGNGCGACGACGACGACGAGGGAGGAGG
This 620-nucleotide ribosomal RNA is filed under the name uncultured bacterium. RNAcentral describes it as "bacterial SSU rRNA". It matches the Rfam family "Bacterial small subunit ribosomal RNA", at positions 338 to 951 of the family's 1533-position model. The record is from RNAcentral.